This 681-nucleotide ribosomal RNA is filed under the name Anous tenuirostris (lesser noddy). Its description in RNAcentral is "partial 12S ribosomal RNA". It matches the Rfam family "Bacterial small subunit ribosomal RNA", at positions 516 to 1494 of the family's 1533-position model. Lineage: Eukaryota; Metazoa; Chordata; Aves; Charadriiformes; Laridae. The record is from RNAcentral.
CGCGGUCACACAAGAGACCCAAAUUAACUGUAUACGGCGUAAAGAGUGGGACCAUGAUAUCGUAACAACUAUGAUCAAAAUGUAGCCAAGCUGUCAUAAGCUUAAGAUGCACCUAAGACCUCCAUUAAAAUGAUCCUAGCAUAUCUGAUCGAUUCAACUCCACGAAAGCUAGGGCACAAACUGGGAUUAGAUACCCCACUAUGCCUAGCCCUAAAUUUUGAUGCUUGCCUUACCAAAGCAUCCGCCCGAGAACUACGAGCAUAAACGCUUAAAACUCUAAGGACUUGGCGGUGCCCUAAACCCACCUAGAGGAGCCUGUUCUAUAAUCGAUAACCCACGAUUCACCCGACCACCUCUCGCCAAAGCAGCCUACAUACCGCCGUCGCCAGCUCACCUCCCCUGAGAGCCUAGCAGUGAGCACAAAAGCCUAGCCCGCUAGCAAGACAGGUCAAGGUAUAGCCCAUGAGGUGGAAGAAAUGGGCUACAUUUUCUACAAUAGAAAAUCCACGGAAGGGGGCAUGAAAUGGCCCCCAGAAGGCGGAUUUAGCAGUAAAGCGGGACAAUAAGGCCCCCUUUAAGUCGGCUCUGGGGCACGUACAUACCGCCCGUCACCCUCCUCACAAGCCACCAACCACCAUAAUUAAUAGGCCCUAUGGCUGAAGAUGAGGUAAGUCGUAACAA